Molecule: long non-coding RNA, 5569 nt
Organism: Dermochelys coriacea (leatherback sea turtle)
Lineage: Eukaryota; Metazoa; Chordata; Testudines; Dermochelyidae
Exons: 5
Source: RefSeq, a predicted model, not a curated record
CAGACAUUGUGUAAGCCUUUUCUUUUAGUAUACCGUGUUUUUAUGAGAUUCUUUAGCUCAACUUCCUUUUCACAAGAUACACUACCAACUCUAUAGUGCUCACACUCGUCAACUUACAGUUCUGACAGUCUUCAAAGAACUAGAACUGUCUUUCCCUCGUCUCACCACUCAGUGGCAAUGUGUUUUUUUUUUUCUAUUUUGAAAAUAUAGUUGUUUUACUUGCCCUCAAAAAAAGUCACUGACCUGGGCAAGAGGAGGAAUAGAGUUUUCCAAAUUAGUAUUAAUUUAAAGUCAGAUGCUGUAUAUCUCUGAGAGGAAAAAAAUGUCUUUUCUACAGAGAUAUUUCCAAUAUAUGAAUCCUCUGAAUAAUGUACUGGGUUCUAGUGGGCUGACAUCAUCACUGUCUUCAUUUAUUUCUUUCCCUUCUGAAAAUUCUCUAAGGAUCAACACCCCCACAGAUGAGCCAUGCAGAGAUCAGCAUUUGGGAGGGAAGCAGAGUUUGGAAUGGGAAACAUAUCUUAACACUCAAGGGGCCCCAAAUAUUAGCAGAUUGUCUCAGAAGUCCAUAGACUACUUUGUGGAUUGGAUGCUAUGCCAUCCAUUCUUCAGAGUUUUUUCUUUUCUUUUUUUUAUUGCAUGGCCAUGCUUACAGGAAAUGUUUGUUGGAUGCUUCAUACUGGAAAUCAACUUUGCAUGUGGCUAUUCUCACAAAUGUGCAAUCCCCAAAUGUGUACAUGCACCAAAACUAUGUUAGAACUAAAAGUCUGAUCAUAGAAACACCACUAAGGCCGGUGAUUAUUACCAUGAAUAAUACCCUUGACUGCAAUCAAUGAGUGUGUUUAUUUACACUGCUAUGUAUAAGCCAUGCCACAUACAUCAUUCAACUUCUAGAUUCAAAGAGCGAUAUCAAGAAAGCUAUUCAGAUAACCUGCUUUUAUGGUGGGUGUUGGAGAAGCUAUUUUACCACCAUUAGUCCAAAAUAUUUUAGAGACAAAUAUUCAGAUGAAAGGAAGACUCAUACUCUCUAACCGGAGAAGUUAUUGAGUGAGUCAUAACCAGGAGAUACACUUAAUGUAGACUCAGAUAAUAGAGAAUUUCUGAUUAGACAGACUCUUUUGACACAAGGAGAACUACUGACUUCCUGGAUCCAACUGCAGGACAAGUCAGAGCUAUGGACUUUAAUGAGUAAAGAUAAGCACAUGUGUAAGUGUUUUCAAGAUCGGGCCUUAACUGCAAACUAUUUAGAGCAAGGUCAAUAAGAUUUUUGUACAUUACUCAGAAUAAAAGGGUCACAAUCUGGACACUACCAUAAUAUAAAUUAUAAGUAAUAAGACAGCAACAAGUCAUGUCCUUUUCUAAGAGAAUUGCACCUAUUCACAAGCUUUAAAGUGCCUUAACUAAAAAACAAAGAGACAAAAUCCAGAAGCAACCUCUUCCAUAUAUGGAAAUAACUAGCCAGACCUCACAACAAAGGGAAGAUGAGGAGAUAUAACCUAUGCUUCCAAAAUAUUACACUCCAUGUUACAUGCAUCUCCCUAAAAACCCCUACAAUAAGACUUGCGAUUCUCUUUUUCAUAACAGGCAAAAUUAUUAGGCUGCAUUAGGUAAUAGUAACAUUUUUUUUACUCCAAGAAUACAAGGAAACAGCUUUCAAAUCCCUAUUUCUUAUUUUAUACGUUAUUUAACCACAAGAAAUUCCAAGGGAAUUUGUUUUCAUGUUGUCCCUGCUCCAAAAAUAUCAUUGCUGUGACCUCAUUGAUACAACCUGAAUGGGAUGUUUCUAGCAGAGAGAAAACCUUCACAAUAAUAGGGGAUUACACAGGAAGAACAGACACAAACAACAACAUAAGAGCCUUGAUGAUAUAAUCCCAUAUUCGACAGAAAGAUGGGUUGAUUGCUUUCUGCUGGCUGCAGUUUAGCAAGACCCUUAGGAGUACUCUUCCCUUAAACUCCUGCCAUCCAUCCCAAACUUACAUUGAAAUCAUACCACUAGGAAAAUAAGGCACUUCUUAGAAGUAGUCCUGACAAACAUUUUAAUGUGUUCAGCAUGCAUGAUGCUCCAGCAGAAGUUUCAAUUCAGUCUUCAUUUCUUUACCUAAUGGCACAAGGGAGGACCUGGUGUGGUGCGAUAGAAAAAGGGCCAUAUCCUUUGUGGUGUACCACAUUAAAUUAAUAUGUCAGGCUUUCUAUGUCUGUCACUGUUCACAGACGGUGGAACAAUUGUUUUGCUUCCCCACUCCCCUCUUUUUUUCCCAAUUUUCACAUAGUAUCACGCUAAAAAAGAGUUAUGGAUUUCCUUCUGAGAGGACUGCAUGGACUGAUAAAGUAAAUUCAUGGCAGAAAACAACUUGUUAUUUUCCCUUUUACCUCAUAAUUUCACUUAAGAGAGAAAGUGCAAUAAAUUUUGGCGGGAAAAAUAAGACUAUUUUGGACAUUUCUAAUGACUAGUCUGUGUAAACACUAUUGAGAAAUAUGGGUGAGAACAAUUCAUCCAGAGGAAUGAUUAUUUUUCUUGCCCCGAGCCCUAAACAGCACUUUUGUGAAGUAUUUUAAAUUGUCUGAAGUUCAUUUAAGAAGAGGAAGAAGCAAAAAAAGAAUGUUUGGAAAACUCUCAUAGGCUUUCAUGUUUAAAUGCUUUAUUCUUUCAUGAUUAUGAAACAUUUACUUUCUAACUCAACUGAAGAACUGUUGCCCAAACUUUCCUAACACACAGUUAGUGGGCCAUUUUGAUCUCACUUACUCUAGAUAUAUAUCAGAAUAGCUGAGAUCAGAAUCUGAUCCAAGGUAUCGAUGCAACAUUUAGAACAAUGGGGUCCUGGUCCCAGACUGGGGCCCAUAGGGGCUACGAUAAGAUAAAUAAUGAAUAAUAAUACACAGUUGGACACUCUUGCCAUGCACACGAUGUGUUGGAGCUAAAUUCUCUGCUAGUGUAAACUCGCACAGCUCCACUACCUGUAAUGGAGCUUCAGCAAUUCAUGCCCGCAGAGAAUUUGGCCCUUGGUCUUUAGUGUUUAAGCUUCCCUGACACUACUUAAAUAUGGUGCCUCAGUAUAGCUCCUAUUAUCUCCAGAACUCUGCUACAGGCUGGCUGGGCAUUAGUACUUCAAGCACUGCCCCACAGGGUUCACCCUUCAUUACCUUAUCAAAUGAACAAAAUUUCCUCAAUAAGUCUUCCUGUACUGCAGAUAAAAAAGCAAACAAACAUUUGGGCGAGUUAAAAAAAAAGCUGACUAAAUGCAGGAAGAUCAUUCUUGUUAUUCUACCAAUAUUGCUUCCUUUGCUCCAAAGGAAAUGCUAGCUCAGAAGGAGCCAGGGGAGCAGUUAGCAGCUUCUUGCUAGAGCUCCAGUAUUUCUGCUGCACAGGCUAGAAGAUGCUGUGAGAAUGUGUGACUCAUACGGCUCAUCAUGAUUGAAACGUCUUCUGAUGCCAGUAGAAAUCUACUUAAAACCUUUCAUUUGCAGGGUAAAAAGAGAGUUGCAAUGACAUUUUCUUCUGUACAUUCACCCUGUUUUCAAAUCAGAGGGGCCCCAAGCUGCAGCAGCAACAGGGUGCUUGCAAUAUAGCUGGUUGUGACAAGGCAGCUGACAAGCCUUCCGCAUUCCACAGCUCAAUUAUUAAUAUGAAUAACUAAUGACUCACGCUGACACUACCGAGGCCGGGAAAUUUUCUGUAACUAAAGAGUUAUAAAAUGUUAUUCUCCCAUAGCACCACCGCCAAAUCGAUGAGUGAUCUGUGUAUGGCUUUGCAUUCAUUUCAAACUGAAUAUGCAUGUCCCUGCACACAUGGCUUGAAACAGUCAGAAGACUGGUGUUUAGGGGAAAGAGUUCAGUUGUAUCAGGCUAUUUAGGGGGCUAACUGCAAGAACGCAGAGACAUUUCUCACAUUAGUCCACUUGCUUACUAAUACAAAUAACUAAUGAUUAAAGCAUCUGAUCUACCGAGGGCUGUGAAACUUCUUUGUCACUGUCUGGAAAAGCCAGACUUCUCUGGAUGUUGCAGUUUAAUUUUUUUCCCCCUGCUCAGAGGACAUGGAAUGGCUUCAGCCAAUAAUUUAGAAUCAUCUGAGAGGGACAUGGCACCAAAAGCAACACUAAAUAUAUUGAUCCUCUUCUUUGCCUGGGCUAUGUGAGUUACAACUACCUUUAAGCAAGUUUCUGAGCUUUUCUUACUUGUUCCCAGUGAGCAUGCUUCUUCUUCCUUUACCCCGACAAAGUAGCAAAAAUGAGACAGCAUCACGCUCUGCUGGCUGUAUGUAUGAGCUUGCUCGUCAUUCAGUACUGUACUUGUUUUAGUCUGUGAUAUCUGCAGCAUACCGUUGGCCGUUACUUUUAAUGGCAGUAGCUCAAAAGCAAAGAACCAAAAGAACCAAAAAGGUUGAUGCUACUGCUAUUGUAUUGUGUGUAACUCAGAUGAAUAGUAUAACAUGCUUGGAUUUACAAAAGGAAAAUUUGUGAGGAUGCCAUGACUCUUUGAACAGCUUAACAGCUGCAAUUUACAUGGUGCUGUCGGCUUAUUUCCUUGCUUGGUGCUUGAGUGUGAGUGAUGAUAUAAGUCUCAACACAGAGCUGGGAACAGCAUCAGGGGCUGCCUCAACAUACAAGAGUUACCAGUGAAUUGCGUGAGUGUGGGAGGAGCAGGUCAUCUGACUCUCAUCUCGGAUGGUAGGCCAGGGAAUGUUAGGGAAUAUGCCAAGUGUUUCUGGAUGAGAGCUACAUCCCAGAGGGCUGACGGAAAUUAAAGAUACACUGGUAUAGUGGUUAAUGCUCCAAAUUCAUGGACAGUAAUAAAAAUAAUGUUGCCCAGAAAGCAGCAGGAGGCAUGCUGGAGAGAAAGAGACAGGCUAACAGAAUGAAUAGAAAUGUUUGCAUCAUUGCCAGAUGGAUGACCAGGCUGAUUAUUGCACUUGGCUUGCUCAGCUCUGCAGUGGAAGACGACUUUCUAGGUAACUGUAUACAAUGUAUUUGGGUAUGAAAAUGGGACUGCCUCAAAAGAAACAAAAACCCAUGGGAUUACGGAAGGAUAUAGCGAAUGAAAUGGAUGUAUAAUGUUGUCAUGUUGAUCUCCAACUGCUCUCAUUCUCUUCCCACUCUUUCUGUCUGUUUCUCUCUCCCAGACAUGCCAAUGUAUUCAAAUAAAUCAGCACUAAUUAAAUACACUUGGGCAGUCUUAUAUUAGCUCUCAAAAAACCCACCCCCCAAAAAAAUCUAUGAUCAAGUAAUACUACAUGUUACUGAAACUGACAAAAGAAUUCUGAGUUAAGGGUGAAAUUCACCUUCAGUGAUCAUACUAUAAAUGUUUAGGUGAAAUCCUAUAUGUAUAGCCAUCAUUGUUUGGACUGACUGCUAAACCUGAACACAGUGGUAGGUUAAAAAUAUAAUCUCAGCCUUCAAUCUGGAUUUUCUGUUUGCUUUUGUUGGUUUAACUCAAAACCUUUUUAUUUACUUGUGUGUAAUUUGUUGUGAUUUGUAACAGAUUUAAAAUAAAUUUUAAAUUGUAAUAAAAGAGAAUAAAAUCAGAACAAUAUUUGUAUUCAACUUGUAUAUACUAUAUUGCUGUUAAACAUGCAGUA